UUUCUUUCGCCUCCAGAUGUACCAGAAUGCCUGAAGAUGAGAGAGUGUUUCUACUGUAUGGUCUUGGGGAAAUAGAAAAUGAAAUCAAUGUAGUGAUUUAUUGCCCUCUGUGUCACGAUAUGAGACACGUUGGUCAUAGCCUUGAAGGAUUCUGGUUUACGGGACGAGCAGAGGCUUGACUUCUCUUUUAGUCAGGUAUGUUUGAGAUAGCUCUGCUUGUUCCCAAUACCUGGAGGAAAAGGAUACCUGUAUUGGUGUAGUGGGGUUAGAUGGUAGCUGGUUGUGUAGUGGGGCUAGAUGGGGGCUAGAUGGUAGCUGGUUGUGUAGUGGGGCUAGAUGGUAGAUGGUUGUGUAGUGGGGCUAGAUGGUAGAUGGUUGUGUAGUGUGGCUAGAUGGUAGAUGGUUGUGUAGUGUGGCUAGAUGGUAGAUGGUUGUGUAGUGGGGCUAGAUGGUAGCUGGUUGUGUAGUGGGGCUAGAUGGUAGAUGGUAGAUGGUUGUGCAGUGGGGCUAGAUGGUAGAUGGUUGUGUAGUGGGGCUAGAUGGUAGAUGGUUGUGUAGUGGGGCUAGAUGGUAGAUGGUUGUGUAGUGUGGCUAGAUGGUAGAUGGUUGUGUAGUGGGGCUAGAUGGUAGAUGGUUGUGUAGUGGGGCUAGAUGGUAGAUGGUUGUGUAGUGGGGCUAGAUGGUAGAUGGUUGUGUAGUGGGGCUAGAUGGUAGAUGGUUGUGUAGUGGGGCUAGAUGGUAGAUGGUAGAUGGUUGUGUAGUGGGGUUUGAUGGUAGAUGGUUGUGUAGUGGUGCUAGAUGGUAGAUGGUUGUGUAGUGGGGCUAGAUGGUAGAUGGUUGUGUAGUGGGGCUAGAUGGUAGAUGGUAGAUGGUUGUGUAGUGGGGCUAGAUGGUAGAUGGUAGAUGGUUGUGUAGUGGGGUUAGAUGGUAGAUGGUUGUGUAGUGGGGCUAGAUGGUAGAUGGUUGUGUAGUGUGGCUAGGUGGUAGAUGGUUGUGUAGUGUGGCUAGAUGGUAGAUGUUUGUGUAGUGGGGCUAGAUGGUAGAUGGUUGUGUAGUGGGGCUAGAUGGUAGAUGGUUGUGUAGUGGGGCUAGAUGGUAGAUGGUUGUGUAGUGGGGCUAGAUGGUAGAUGGUUGUGUAGUGGGGCUAGAUGGUAGCUGGUCGUGUAGUGGGGCUAGAUGGUAGAUGGUUGUGUAGUGGGGCUAGAUGGUAGCUGGUUGUGUAGUGGGGCUAGAUGGUAGCUGGUUGUGUAGUGGGGAUAGAUGGUAGCUGGUUGUGUAGUGUGGCUAGAUGGUAGAUGUUUGUGUAGUGGGGCUAGAUGGGGGCUAGAUGGCAGCUGGUUGUGUAGUGGAGCUAGGUGGUAGAUGGUUGUGUAGUGGGGCUAGAUGGUAGAUGGUUGUGUAGUGGGGCUAGAUGGUAGAUGGUUGUGUAGUGUGGCUAGGUGGUAGAUGGUUGUGUAGUGGGGCUAGAUGGUAGAUGGUUGUGUAGUGGGGCUAGAUGGUAGCUGGUCGUGUAGUGGGGCUAGAUGGUAGAUGGUUGUGUAGUUGGGCUAGAUGGUAGCUGGUUGUGUAGUGGGGCUAGAUGGUAGAUGGUUGUGUAGUGGGGCUAGAUGGUAGAUGGUAGCUGGUUGUGUACUGGGGCUAGAUGGUAGCUGGUUGUGUAGUGGGGCUAGAUGGUAGAUGGUUGUGUAGUGGGGCUAGAUGGUAGCUGGUCGUGUAGUGGGGCUAGAUGGUAGAUGGUUGUGUAGUGGGGAUAGAUGGUAGCUGGUUGUGUAGUGGGGCUAGAUGGCAGCUGGUUGUGUAGUGGGGAUAGAUGGUAGCUGGUUGUAUAGUGUGGCUAGAUGGUAGAUGUUUGUGUAGUGGGGCUAGAUGGGGGCUAGAUGGCAGCUGGUUGUGUAGUGGGGCUAGGUGGUAGAUGGUUGUGUAGUGGGGUUACAUGGUAGCUGGUUGUGUAGUGGGGCUAGAUGGGGGCUAGAUGGUAGCUGGUUGUGUAGUGGGGCUAGAUGGUAGAUGGUUGUGUAGUGGGGCUAGAUGGUAGAUGGUUGUGUAGUGUGGCUAGGUGGUAGAUGGUUGUGUAGUGUGGCUAGAUGGUAGCUGGUUGUGUAGUGGGGCUAGAUGGUAGAUGUUUGUGUAGUGGGGCUAGAUGGGGGCUAGAUGGCAGCUGGUUGUGUAGUGGGGCUAGGUGGUAGAUGGUUGUGUAGUGGGGUUAGAUGGUAGCUGGUUGUGUAGUGGGGCUAGAUGGGGGAUAGAUGGUAGCUGGUUGUGUAGUGGGGCUAGAUGGUAGAUGGUUGUGUAGUGGGGCUAGAUGGGAGAUGGUUGUGUAGUGUGGCUAGACGGUAGAUGGUUGUGUAGUGUGGCUAGAUGGUAGAUGGUUGUGUAGUGGGGCUAGAUGGUAGAUGGUUGUGUAGUGGGGCUAGAUGGUAGAUGGUUGUGUAGUGGGGCUAGAUUGUAGAUGGUUGUGCAGUGGGGCUAGAUGGUAGAUGGUUGUGUAGUGGGGCUAGAUGGUAGAUGGUUGUGUAGUGGGGCUAGAUGGUAGAUGGUUGUGUAGUGUGGCUAGAUGGUAGAUGGUUGUGUAGUGGGGCUAGAUGGUAGAUGGUUGUGUAGUGGGGCUAGAUGGUAGAUGGUUGUGUAGUGGGGCUAGAUGGUAGAUGGUAGAUGGUUGUGUAGUGGGGUUAGAUGGUAGAUGGUUGUGUAGUGGGGCUAGAUGGUAGAUGGUAGAUGGUUGUGUAGUGGGGCUAGAUGGUAUGGUUGUGUAGUGGGGCUAGAUGGUAGAUGGUAGAUGGUUGUGUAGUGGUGUUAGAUGGUAGAUGGUUGUGUAGUGGGGCUAGAUGGUAGAUGGUUGUGUAGUGGGGCUAGAUGGUAGAUGGUUGUGUAGUGGGGCUAGACGGUAGAUGGUUGUGUAGUGUGGCUAGCUAGAUGGUAGAUGGGUUGUG
Molecule: long non-coding RNA, 2930 nt
Organism: Oncorhynchus tshawytscha (Chinook salmon)
Lineage: Eukaryota; Metazoa; Chordata; Actinopteri; Salmoniformes; Salmonidae
Source: Ensembl